CCUCGCGACCAUAGCGGCGGGGUCACACCCGGUCCCAUUCCGAACCCGGAAGUUAAGCCCGCUGUCGCCGAUGAUACUGCUUUGGUGGGAAAGUAGGUGUCGCGAGGU
Molecule: ribosomal RNA, 108 nt
Filed under: Spirochaetes bacterium GWF1_49_6
Lineage: Bacteria; Pseudomonadati; Spirochaetota
Source: RNAcentral